GUAGGUGGCAAGCGUUGUCCGGAAUUAUUGGGCGUAAAGCGCGCGCAGGCGGUCCUUUAAGUCUGAUGUGAAAGCCCACGGCUCAACCGUGGAGGGUCAUUGGAAACUGGGGGACUUGAGUACAGAAGAGGAAAGCGGAAUUCCAAGUGUAGCGGUGAAAUGCGUAGAGAUUUGGAGGAACACCAGUGGCGAAGGCGGCUUUCUGGUCUGUAACUGACGCUGAGGCGCGAAAGCGUGGGGAGCAAACAGGGAUUAGAUGCCCUGGUAGUCCACGCCGUAAACGAUGAGUGCUAAGUGUUAGGGGGGUUUCCGCCCCCUUAGUGCUGCAGCUAACGCAUUAAGCACUCCGCCUGGGGAGUACGGCCGCAAGGCUG
Molecule: ribosomal RNA, 374 nt
Filed under: uncultured organism
Description: partial 16S ribosomal RNA
Rfam family: Bacterial small subunit ribosomal RNA
Source: RNAcentral